RNAcentral lists this ribosomal RNA (272 nucleotides) under uncultured prokaryote. RNAcentral's name for it is "partial 16S ribosomal RNA". It matches the Rfam family "Bacterial small subunit ribosomal RNA", at positions 505 to 776 of the family's 1533-position model. The record is from RNAcentral.
GUGUCAGCAGCCGCGGUAAUACGUAGGUGGCAAGCGUUGUCCGGAAUUAUUGGGCGUAAAGGGCUCGCAGGCGGUUCCUUAAGUCUGAUGUGAAAGCCCCCGGCUCAACCGGGGAGGGUCAUUGGAAACUGGGGAACUUGAGUGCAGAAGAGGAAAGUGGAAUUCCAUGUGUAGCGGUGAAAUGCGCAGAGAUAUGGAGGAACACCUGUGGCGAAGGCGACUUUCUGGUCUGUAACUGACGCUGAUGUGCGAAAGCGUGGGGAUCAAACAGG